This is a non-coding RNA of Dermacentor albipictus, 1506 nucleotides long. NCBI's taxonomy places the organism in Eukaryota, Metazoa, Arthropoda, Arachnida, Ixodida, Ixodidae. The record is from RefSeq and is a predicted model, not a curated record.
GCAAAAUUGGAGCUAUGGUCGAAAUUCAGUUUUGUGUAGCUGUUGUAUUCGCAGCAAUAACCACAACAUUUCACUACUCUCAAGGAGCAUGUGUAGGAGGAGGACCACUACUUAUGUACAUUGCAGAGUUUUUGAAUACAAGUGAACCUAUAUGGACGUAUAAUUCAACAGCAACUACGUCUCCUGUCUGCAAAGUUGACGUGAUUCAGCAGUGUACCUGGGCUAACGUCCGUUUGAGACGGCUUUACAUACAAAACCGAGUAACAUAACAGCUGCCAACAGGAGCGAUUGAUCUACAUGGCCUAUAACCGCAGCUGUGCAGUGGUCUCGGUCAACUUAAAUUGCCCAAAUAGCAUGGGAUAUGUCGAACUCCGUGUUCGCAAUUCGUCCGUUUCGACUGGUCCUGAGUGUGGCUGUGUAAAGAAAUUUGACGAGUAUCGUAGCAGAGGACAUCAAGUUUAUACGCCUGGGGUGCGAUCGGAGAUGGUUGUUCGGCGCGUUCGUUCGGUUACCGGCGCGCGCGAUUGGCCUACUCCGCGCCGACGUCGCCUGCCGCGGGGCGCCGCCCCGUUUUUGGUGACGUCAAAAUGACGACACGCUCCUGUCAAUCAUCCGCCCACCGAGCAUUUCGUCCGAACGCGACGGGAGUUGAGAAGUUUGGAGCGAUCAUACGGCUUCGCAUGGCGCGUCUGGUGGAUUGGAUUGGAUCCAACAGGCGGUCUUUUCGGCUGCGGAAUGGCACGAAUGGCACGUUUGAAUCCGAUCCAUAGUUUAAUUCUAGAAAAUGGCACUUCCGUUGGAAACUUCGGUUGUUUCGCUGGCGUUUCUUGAGGAAGGAGGAGAGUGGGUGGGGGUGCGAAACGCGUUUGAAGAAAUGGCAGAAAGUGAAUUCCGGCGUCGUUUUUGUUUCUCGAAACAAAUAAUUCGUUGGUUGUACAGAGAAAUCGACAACAUCAUCGGUGCCAGCGAGCCACUGGGAUGUUGUGGCUGCCUCUUGAAAAGUGCGCCACUCUUCCCGUCGUUAUUUUUUCUUUUACCUUCUCGCUGUGCGCGACACCACCUAGGGACGACGCAAAGAACCUAAUAGUUAUAAAUUGCAGUAGUCACACGUACUGCUAUUUGAAAACGUGUUUGGGCUUGAGAAGAAAAAAUACGUUUUUUUAGACAAAGAUUUCAUUCAAUUGGAAGACGAGAAACAUUUGGCUUUGUAGUAUACUGUUUGAGAGCAGACGACAAACGACGCAGGUAAACUUCCGGGGAGGUGACCGCUUCCUGACUGGCUGCUCUCUCCGCCCCGCUGUCACAAAUUUUGCAUACUGCAACUUUGUGACGUUGCAGCAACUGAACAGAACGCGUAUCGAACAAAAUAUCUCCGAUCGCGCCCCUGAUUGCCAGAGAAUACUUCAACGAGGCUGUCAAACUUCGUCUUGUUAUGGAGGCUAAAGUUUUCUAACACAAACUUUUCUAUGUGGAGUCAAAGAAUGUGCAGAAGAAAGAAAGCGAAAA